This is a long non-coding RNA of Carya illinoinensis, 440 nucleotides long. RefSeq lists it as uncharacterized. The record is from RefSeq and is a predicted model, not a curated record. NCBI's taxonomy places the organism in Eukaryota, Viridiplantae, Streptophyta, Magnoliopsida, Fagales, Juglandaceae. The transcript is spliced from 3 exons.
UGGGAGCAUUCAAUUUCAGUUCAGCUGAUGGCUUUGUGUAUCUAAGGUAGAUUUCUAUAUUUAUGUCUAUAUAUAUAUGCUUACAUUCAUACAUACAUACUACCUAUAAAUGCUCACACAUACAUAGAAAGAGAGAUCGAUUUGGCUCUUCUGUGCUUGAGCUGGACGAUGAAAAGUUAUUGUGAUGCAUCUGCUACACUUGUGGUCUUUGAGCGAAGGUAUGCAUCUCUGGAAAAUUAUGUCGCUGAGCCAAUCAUAAGUUCAACAGAAAAGCAGCCACUCCUUGAAACUCCAGGAGAAAAAACUCAUAUACAGGUAUGCCUUUGAAUAUGGGAGCAAUUACUUUUAGUUGAAAGUGAUGAAGUGCACUUAGGAUCAACUUGAAGUUUCUGCUUGGCUAUGUACUGAACAUAUUUCUACUUGUUGUAUACUGAAUGUAC